Molecule: unclassified non-coding RNA, 336 nt
Filed under: soil metagenome
Description: partial contains 5.8S ribosomal RNA, internal transcribed spacer 2, and large subunit ribosomal RNA
Rfam family: 5.8S ribosomal RNA (bases 1-120)
Source: RNAcentral
GAUGAAGAACGUAGCGAAAUGCGAUAAGUAAUGUGAAUUGCAGAAUUCAGUGAAUCAUCGAAUCUUUGAACGCACAUUGCGCCCGCCAGUAUUCUGGCGGGCAUGCCUGUUCGAGCGUCAUUUCAACCAUCAAGCCCCCGGGCUUGUGUUGGGGACCUGCGGCUGCCGCAGGCCCUGAAAAGCAGUGGCGGGCUCGCUGUCACACCGAGCGUAGUAGAUUUUAUCUCGCUCUGGGCGUGCUGCGGGUUCCGGCCGUUAAACCACCCUUUUAACCCAAGGUUGACCUCGGAUCAGGUAGGAAGACCCGCUGAACUUAAGCAUAUCAUAAGCGGAGGA